AUGAAACCUCCUAGUAGUUGGCAGAAUAGCCAGCUUUUGCUGUACUUUUACAGGUGUGGCUUACUGCUGAAUUCAAGUGGAGCAGCACUGCUUUUCCAGUGGGACUGUGUUUUGGAGGGACAGCCUGUAUCCCUAACUGGAGGCGGGGGAAGGAAUUGGCUAAUUGACCCUGCAGGACUGGGAGGGGAGUGGGAAAAAGGGAGAUUGGUGCGCUCCCACGCCUGCAUCUGCGUUGCCUCAGCUUGCAUGGACUUUGGGACCACAGCUGCUGAGGAGGUUACAGACUGGCCAUUUUACUGCAGCAUCCCAGCCAAAUUCACAGCCAUAUGCCAGCUAUGGUGUAGACAGACUGUGGUUAUGAACAAGCCUCAAACUGUGAACUUGUGAAGCCUUUCAAGCAUCUCUGCUAAAAUUGCCUGUCACCAGCAUGUGGAAGAGUGCCAUGUGGCAUUCAGGUGACAUGACGGCCACUCUGUUUCUUCCUUGUGAGUUUCCUGAGCUGAGGUGUGGUUCUGGGGGUGCCCGCCUGCUCAGAGCUCUCCUGGGGUGUUCAGGGAGAGCCCAUUGCCUCUGCUGGAGCACUGCUGUGCUGCCCGCAUGGCGUUCAGCAGCGCGCAGCUCCUGCUGGCCAGACUCAGCCCCCAGCUCGUCUCGUCAAAUGGCACUUUUGUGAGUGUGCCUGCAUCGCUCAGUUCCUCUAAUAGCACCCUGCUACUGGUGAAUACAGAGCUAGACAGAGACUUGGAACUGGCACUUCUCACUAAAAGAAACGUAUUGCGCUUUACUGCAUAGGAUGCUCAUAGCAGACUUUGCCAAACAUCAAGUUUUCCAGAGAAAAUUUGCCUGAGAACUCCCCCUUUCUUCUUUUUCCCUGUGACCUCUGCUAAUUGCAGUGGUUGCAUCUUCAGUGUAAGCCUGAGGUGAGUUUUCUCCAGGAUGUCAUAACCAUCAGCACUGCUGCAUGUGACAGUGCUUUCUGCUUUGCAUGCAGCUGUCUCAUGUUCCCCCAGGCUUAGAGGAUUGUGAAAGGGUCACUCAGAGAGUGGUUCAGCCUGCAGGAUUGGGACUGAUGUUCUUAGUUCUUAAAAUGCUCGGGAGGAGGUAGUUUGUAAAAAAAAACUGGGCCUGCUGCCUUUUGAGCUGAUCUUCACUGAUCAGUGAGGAAGAUAAAGAUAUAUGGAUGAGUUUACAGUGGCAUUGUGGAAUGAAUUUGAGGAUAGUUGCUUCAAUCUGAAAAGCAGAUCUGUUGGACUAAACCUUUUUGUGUCCAAGAUUAAUGUGUGGAUAAGCUGCCCAAUUGCAUUCUUAGCUUCAUCAAAAGAGAUCCAGAGUUGGUUUUACAUGCUGCAAUUUGUUAUAAAGGGCAAACAGAAAUACUUAGUAAGGG
RNAcentral lists this long non-coding RNA (1387 nucleotides) under Apteryx haastii (Great spotted kiwi). RNAcentral describes it as "lncRNA (ENSAHAG00000012582.1)". The record is from RNAcentral. Lineage: Eukaryota; Metazoa; Chordata; Aves; Apterygiformes; Apterygidae.